Non-coding RNA from Tinamus guttatus (white-throated tinamou), 253 nucleotides. Lineage: Eukaryota; Metazoa; Chordata; Aves; Tinamiformes; Tinamidae. The record is from RefSeq and is a predicted model, not a curated record.
ACUCCUCUGUUCUUCUUUCAGCUCUGCUUUUGCUGUCGAACAAGAAGGUUUUCCUUCUUUACCUGGUCUUACACUUGUCAGUUCUGUAAGAGGCCUGUAUGCUCACAGUGUUGCAAAAAAAUGCGACUGCCAUCAAAGCCAUAUUCCACCCUCCCCAUCUUCUCACUGGGACCAUCAACCUUGCAGAGAGGAGAGAGCUUCAUGAGGCCGGAGAAACCCUCCACCAGUCACCACCGGUCCCUGCGGAGCAUGC